GGAUUCUGGAUAAUGGGGAGAUUAAUAGUGCUUUCCAAAGAAGCCUCCAUCACCUAGACCGUUCUCAAUUGGUCAUGUUUCCUGUAUUGCAAAAUAUUCGUUUCAAAAGGCUUGAUAGAACAGUGGGCCACUUCUUCCUUCUAGUCUUGAACCUAAGGGAAGAAAGGUUUGAAGUUCUCGAUUCUAUGAGGUCUCUCGCCGACAUUAACUUGAAGACAUGCUGCAACAAUUUGAUCACUGCAAUUAAGGAACUUUGGCGCAAACAUUACCCUAAUUCAAGGAAGAAUAUUGACAAGUAUCAACUGAUUGAUAUUAAUGUUCCAUUGCAGUCAAACAAUCAUGACUGCGGGUUCCACAUGCUAAUGCAUUGUGAACACUGGAAUGGUAUUAACAUGCCACAGUUUAAGGAAAAAGAUAUGCCAACUAUUCGAAAGAUGCUCACAUACAAAUGGCUCCAACAUCCAGAAAACAAUAUUGCAUGGAGAUGUAAAAUGAAUAUUUGCUAGUAUCCUCUUCUUCGGCUUCAUCAUUAUCAGAGUAGCAAGUGAUUCCAUCAACAAGCUGAGCAGCAACUCUCCUUUUCCUGCCAAAGCCUUCCUUGUUGCACACAAACUGCACCUUUUGUUUUUCUCUCGUGAUUGCAGACCGACGUGACGUGUUUGUUCUAAUCGAGAAGCCAGUUCUCUUUGCAUACGAGUUGUAGUACUCCCUUGCUUCAUCCAAGGUUGCAAAAGACAUCCCAUUGUGUGGCAUUUCAGGUUCUGUCUCUGCUAAACCAGCAUGAACAUCUUCAGAAAUACCAGGCAAAAUCUGCUGGUUCAUAUGCUCAUUGUUAGGCUGAGGAAUUUCAGGAUUUGUGGACACUUGAGUGCAAAAGGGGUGAGGCUAUGUGCAGCAAAUAACACAAGUUUAAUGCAUAGGAGUAACCAUGUGCAGUAGCUAACACAAGAAGCUUUUUAAUGCAGAAAGAUGUACAUCUGCAUGUGUGGUGCAUACAACAUAUACACAUGUCAUCUAAUGGGUACCCAAGACGUACAGUGGUGUAGUAUCAGAUCUGCUAAUGUAGUAGAAACUAUAGUACUAUGUGAUACAAGAGAUCUGGAUUGCUUAUGCAAAACAACUGAUUUUGCUUUUAUGCAAAAGUAGUGAAUUGCUCAAAAGUUAGGAUAAGAUCUGCUAUUUCUUACAGAGUAAGAGAUCUGGCUAGUUAGGUGAUUCAAGAGAACAAAUCUGGCAGAAGAAACCUUCUAGUAACAGAUCUGGCUAGUUCUAUUUUUGAGACUAUUUGUUGAAAGUAGUGGCAGAAGAAGUUCUUGCACAAUAGCACGUACCUGC
Molecule: long non-coding RNA, 1335 nt
Organism: Sorghum bicolor (sorghum)
Lineage: Eukaryota; Viridiplantae; Streptophyta; Magnoliopsida; Poales; Poaceae
Exons: 6
Source: RefSeq, a predicted model, not a curated record